UACGUAGGGGGCAAGCGUUGUCCGGAAUUAUUGGGCGUAAAGAGCGUGUAGGCGGUUAGGUAGGUCCGUUGUGAAAACUCGAGGCUCAACCUCGAGACGCCGAUGGAAACCAUCUGACUAGAGUCCGGAAGAGGAGAGUGGAAUUCCUGGUGUAGCGGUGAAAUGCGUAGAUAUCGGGAGGAACACCAGUGGCGAAGGCGACUUCCUGGCCUGUUCUUGACGCUGAGGCGCGAAAGCGUGGGGAGCGAUCCGG
This 253-nucleotide ribosomal RNA is filed under the name uncultured bacterium. RNAcentral's name for it is "partial 16S ribosomal RNA". It matches the Rfam family "Bacterial small subunit ribosomal RNA", at positions 524 to 776 of the family's 1533-position model. The record is from RNAcentral.